GUGGGGAAUAUUGGACAAUGGGCGAAAGCCUGAUCCAGCCAUGCCGCGUGUGUGAAGAAGGUCUUCGGAUUGUAAAGCACUUUAAGUUGGGAGGAAGGGCAGUAAGUUAAUACCUUGCUGUUUUGACGUUACCAACAGAAUAAGCACCGGCUAACUUCGUGCCAGCAGCCGCGGUAAUACGAAGGGUGCAAGCGUUAAUCGGAAUUACUGGGCGUAAAGCGCGCGUAGGUGGUUUUGUAAGUUGGAGGUGAAAUCCCCGGGCUCAACCUGGGAACUGCCUCCAAAACUGCAUGACUAGAGUACGGUAGAGGGUAGUGGAAUUUCCUGUGUAGCGGCGAAAUGCGUAGAUAUAGGAAGGAACACCAGUGGCGAAGGCGACUACCUGGACUGAUACUGACACUGAGGUGCGAAAGCGUGGGGAGCAAACAGGAUUAGAAACCCUGGUAGUCC
This 450-nucleotide ribosomal RNA is filed under the name uncultured bacterium. RNAcentral describes it as "partial 16S ribosomal RNA". It matches the Rfam family "Bacterial small subunit ribosomal RNA", at positions 354 to 796 of the family's 1533-position model. The record is from RNAcentral.